Molecule: ribosomal RNA, 498 nt
Filed under: uncultured bacterium
Lineage: Bacteria
Description: partial 16S ribosomal RNA
Rfam family: Bacterial small subunit ribosomal RNA
Source: RNAcentral
AUUGAACGCUGGCGGCAUGCCUUACACAUGCAAGUCGAACGGUAACAGGUCUUCGGAUGCUGACGAGUGGCGAACGGGUGAGUAAUACAUCGGAACGUGCCUAGUAGUGGGGGAUAACUACUCGAAAGAGUGGCUAAUACCGCAUGAGAUCUACGGAUGAAAGCAGGGGAUCGCAAGACCUUGUGCUACUAGAGCGGCCGAUGGCAGAUUAGGUAGUUGGUGGGAUAAAAGCUUACCAAGCCGACGAUCUGUAGCUGGUCUGAGAGGACGAUCAGCCAGACUGGGACUGAGACACGGCCCAGACUCCGACGGGAGGCAGCAGUGGGGAAUUUUGGACAAUGGGCGCAAGCCUGAUCCAGCAAUGCGGCGUGCAGGAUGAAGGCCUUCGGGUUGUAAACUGCUUUUGUACGGAACGAAAAGCCCCGGGUUAAUACCCUGGGGUCAUGACGGUACCGUAAGAAUAAGCACCGGCUAACUACGUGCCAGCCGCCGCCGUAA